RNAcentral lists this ribosomal RNA (465 nucleotides) under uncultured Klebsiella sp. Its description in RNAcentral is "bacterial SSU rRNA". It matches the Rfam family "Bacterial small subunit ribosomal RNA", at positions 338 to 795 of the family's 1533-position model. Lineage: Bacteria; Pseudomonadati; Pseudomonadota; Gammaproteobacteria; Enterobacterales; Enterobacteriaceae. The record is from RNAcentral.
CCUACGGGUGGCAGCAGUGGGGAAUAUUGCACAAUGGGCGCAAGCCUGAUGCAGCCAUGCCGCGUGUGUGAAGAAGGCCUUCGGGUUGUAAAGCACUUUCAGCGGGGAGGAAGGCGUUAAGGUUAAUACCCUUGUCGAUUGACGUUACCCGCAGAAGAAGCACCGGCUAACUCCGUGCCAGCAGCCGCGGUAAUACGGAGGGUGCAAGCGUUAAUCGGAAUUACUGGGCGUAAAGCGCACGUAGGCGGUCUGUCAAGUCGGAUGUGAAAUCCCCGGGCUCAACCUGGGAACUGCAUUCGAAACUGGCAGGCUAGAGUCUUGUAGAGGGGGGUAGAAUUCCAGGUGUAGCGGUGAAAUGCGUAGAGAUCUGGAGGAAUACCGGUGGCGAAGGCGGCCCCCUGGACAAAGACUGACGCUCAGGUGCGAAAGCGUGGGGAGCAAACAGGAUUAGAUACCCUAGUAGUC